This is a long non-coding RNA of Physeter macrocephalus (sperm whale), 1695 nucleotides long. RefSeq lists it as uncharacterized. The transcript is spliced from 4 exons. Lineage: Eukaryota; Metazoa; Chordata; Mammalia; Artiodactyla; Physeteridae. The record is from RefSeq and is a predicted model, not a curated record.
CGGUGGCACCUUCUCCUUGUCGCGCUUGGGCCUUGAAGAAAUUCCCCGGCUUAUUUAUAGCCCGUGUUUAUUUUUACUCAAGUCCUGAACUCGAGCCUCUAGAAGUAGUCUGAGCGGCGGCAGAUCGGGAGGGAAUCCUGGCUUUGCGACCACGGAUCCAGUAACCGGGUUUGUUCCGUGACCUGGGGGCACCCCGCGGGGCCGAGAAGAGGGACAGACCCAAGUUCAGUGCUGGGCUAGGGGCGCUGCCGGAGACCCCGUGCAGGCAAAAAGCGACCUUGGCCAUCCAGCCCCUCCCGCGGUGCACUUUAACCUCAACCCCUCCACUCCAGGUGCAAAAUCAGACCGCCCUCGUCCGCCCUUACUGGUUGUUCCCUUCCGAGAUCGGAUCAGUGGCAUCAGACUUUUGAGGAAAGUGAUGACUUAGGUUUUGCUUGACCCAGAAGCUCAGACUUACGCAUCCUCUUAGUCUCUUGGGGACUCCAUGCGGUGACGUGGAGCCCUUCACAGAAACAGGAGGGGAAUGCCUACUUCGGUCAGCUGGAUGCUGACCAAAAGCGUCCACCCUGUCCAGGCACUUGGUCCUGACCCAUCCUAAAGCAGACAUGAACGAAUGCCAGUCUCAGCAUCCCUUAAAAUUCAUCAACAACGGGACUGCAGAAGGUGGCCGGAUCUGGAGUUGACGCUUCCUGUCCAGAACAGACAGGACUGUGACUGCCUGUGCAGAGGUGUCAUGGGAUCCCAGCUACAGAACCUAAGAGGGAGGAAGAAAGAGUUUUUUUUCCUCAACAGUAUUCUCUAAUUGGACUAAUUAAAAUAGGUGGUCCUAUAAUUCAAUCUGAUCUGUAUGAUUUUAUGAUAUGAAUAAUUAGUUCUGAGGAAGAAACAUCCAAUUUAUCACCAUAACAUGGAACCAUUUGAAAAUUCUUUCCAGAUUUAUCUGUGUCCUCCCCAGACGCCCCAAGAAUAUCCAUUUCCUGAGUCUGGAGACAAAGCAGAUAAGAGAUCCUGACUGCAGAGAUUUGAUAUUUAAAACAACACAAAUGUGAAUAUGCUCUUCUUCCAUUUGCCAGGGAUUCACCACCUGGCUGCUCUCACUGGCUGUGCUAAUUGGUCAUGAGAAGGAAGUGGCUAAUUAAUUCCUUGGAAUGAGUGUGGGCGUGCUGGAGGUGACCCAGAGCCUGAGAAAUAAAUGCAGUUUAGCUUAGCAGUAAGCCAGGGAGGGUCCUCACUGUCACCUCCGUCAUCCUCCUUCUCUCCCUCUUCCUCCCCGUCAUCGUCAUACACUCAUCAUACCUGCCCCGGAACACAGUGCCCAGCACCGAAGCAAGCACUUCACAAGCAUCAUCGCACAGUCACGGAGGAUCAGAGUCUUUCCUGGGAUUCCAUUCCUAUCCACAACAUCAUGAUGACAGGGACAGACAGUGGGCAGCGUGCAUCUUCCUGUCUUGAGUAGAGCAGCAAAUGCAAGCUGGUUACUGGGUCCAAAGAGAAGACAAACCAGUUCAGGACCAGGUUUAGCUUCUUAGAAAGAAGAGCUCCCAGGAAUAACUGAAUCAUUCAUUCCGCAAAGAUCUGGAGGGCCUGUAAAGAGCAGGGACUGUGCUGGGCGCUGGGGUUACAGGGACGAGCCAGGCAGAGAUGGUCCUGACCUCAGUCUUCCAUUUCUUUCUUUUUUUUUUUUUUUUUGCAGUA